UACGAAGGGGGCUAGCGUUGUUCGGAAUUACUGGGCGUAAAGCGCACGUAGGCGGGUCGUUAAGUCAGGGGUGAAAUCCCGGAGCUCAACUCCGGAACUGCCUUUGAUACUGGCGAUCUUGAGAUCGGAAGGGGUGAGUGGAAUUCCCAGUGUAGAGGUGAAAUUCGUAGAUAUUGGGAAGAACACCAGUGGCGAAGGCGGCUCACUGGUCCGAUACUGACGCUGAGGUGCGAAAGCGUGGGGAGCAAACAGG
This 253-nucleotide ribosomal RNA is filed under the name uncultured bacterium. RNAcentral's name for it is "partial 16S ribosomal RNA". It matches the Rfam family "Bacterial small subunit ribosomal RNA", at positions 524 to 776 of the family's 1533-position model. The record is from RNAcentral.